GUUGUUGUUGUUGUUGCUAUUUCUUGGGCCGCUCCCGCGGCAUAUGGAGGUUCCCAGGCUAGGGGUCGACUCAGAGCUGUAGCCACCGGACUACGCCAGAGCCACACCAACGCGGGAUCCGAGCCGCGUCUGCAACCUACACCACAGCUCAUGGCAACGCCGGAUCGUUAACCCACUGAGCAAGGGCAGGGACCGAACCCGCAACCUCAUGGUUCCUAGUCGGAUUCGUUAACCACUGCGCCAUGACGGGAACUCUCCGGGCAAAAUUUUUAAAGACACAAAUUUCUAAAGCUCACUCCCAAAGAAACAGAUAGCUUGAAUAACUUUUUAUCUAUUAAAGAAAUGGAAUUUAUGGGUUAAAUCCUACCCACAAAGAACACUCCAGGUCCGUAUGGUAUCACUGAUGAGUUUUGCCAAUCAUUUGAGGAAAAAAUAGCACAAACACAACAAACUCUUCCAUUAAACUGAAGAGAAGAAAACACCAACUCAUUCCAUGAGGCCAGCAUUUCUGGGCACCAAACCAGACGGAGAUGAUACAAGACAAGGAAACGCUCUCAAAAACAUGGAAGCAAAACACAUGCAAACUGAAUCCAACAAUGAUUUAAAAGGACAACAUGUCAUGACCAGGUGGCGUUUAUUCCAGGGACGCAAAGUUGGUUUAACACUUGAGAAUUAACUCACGCAUUAAUGAAUGGAAAAGAAAAACCAUACGAUUGUCUCAAAGGAUGCAGAAAAACUAUGUGACAAAAUCCAAUAUCCACUCUUAAAUUUUAAAAAAAAUUCACAGAAAAUUAGACACUGAAAGGAACUUCGUCUUGAUAAAAAGAUCUGUGAAGAUCCUACACACGAUGCUUAACGGUGCAAGACCGACUUAGUUCUUCCUAGGGUCAGGAACAAGACAAGGACGUCCACUACCACCGUCACUGGUGGACCCUGUAGCGGAGGUUGCUAGACAGUCAAAAAGUCAAAAAAUCAAAAAAAAAAAAAAAAAAAAAGGAGGAAGCACCCAGAUUUGAAAGGAGAAAGCAAAAAUGUAUAAACUUCCAAACAGCAUGGUCAUCUAUGUAAAAACUACUGAAUCUACCACAAAAGCUCUGAAACUAACAAUUUAGUUAAAAUUGAGGAUAAAAGAUAAACACACAAAAGUCAAAGCUUUAAACAAUCAGAAAUUAAAUUAGAAACAUUUACAAUAACAUGAAAAAUGUAAAAUAUUUAGGGAUGAACUCAAAACUAAAUCACAGUCCAAAAUAUAAAACUUAAAUAUAUAAAGCUUCUGGAAGGCAGUCUCUGAAAGAGCAGAGUUUUCAUUCUUUUAAAUAGAACAGAAAAACAAGUCACAAACUGAAAGUAAAUCACAUAUCUGAUAAAGGACCUCUAUCUAGAAUUUUUAAAGAAGACUUAAAAUUCAACAAAUAAUAAUUGGGAAAGCAAACACCCCAAGUAAAAGAAAAAAAAGAUAGGAAAGUUUAAACAGACACCUCACUACAGAAUAUAUUUGGGAAUUCCAGCUGUGGUGCAGUGGGUUCAGAAUACAGUGUUGCCAUAACUGUGGUAUAGGUCACAGGUCACAGCUGCAGCUCAGAUUCAAUCCCUGGCCUGGAAACUUCCAUAUGCCUCGGGUUCACUGUACACCUGUGAGGAUGGCUAAAAUUAAAAAGAUGAACCACAACAAGUGUUGGCGAGGGUGCAGAACAACUGAACACUCUUCCAUGGCUGGGGGGAAGGGGAAAUGGUAAAUCACUUUCCAAAACUAUCCGUUUCUUAAAAAGUUAAACAAAUACCCGUCAUGUGGCCCAAUCAUUUUGCUCAAUAUUUCACCAAGAGAAAUGAAAGCUUACGUGCAUACAAUAACUUGAACACAAACAUUCAAAGACACUUGCUGCUAACCAUCACUAACUGGAAAUAAGCCAAAUGUCCACCAACAGGUGAAAGAUCAGCGGCAUAUCUAGAUGAUAGAAUACUACUGAGCAAGAAAAAAGGGAUGAACUAUUGAUACCUGCAACAAUGAAGAUGAGUCUGAAAAUAAAUCUGCUGGGGUUAGGGUUAGGGUUAGACGCCAGAUGGAAAAGUGUACAUACUGUACAAUUUUUUACGUAAAAUUCCAGAAAAUGCAAGUGAGUCUACUGUGACAGAAAGCCAGUCGGUGGUUUUGCCUAGGGACAGGGAAGAGGUUGGGACGGGCACACUCAGGAGGAAGGAACUGCCAAAGGGCACGAGGAAAUGCGUUUGAGCGCUGGGUGGGUUCCGAACUCCAUCGCGGUGGUGGCGUCCCAGGUACGUACGUAUCUCACAGAUAGAGCAGAACGUACCUGUGCGGUUUAUGGCAUUUCCAUCGUGCGUCAAUAAAGCUGUCAACAAAAUCAAAUGAUUGGUUUGAUCAAUACCCAGCAGUGUCUCUUGAGAAAGCAGCAAGUACUCGACUCCCAUCUAUUGAGUGGAUACAAAAGGAAUGGUCUACCUUGAAAUCAUCCCAACAGAUGCGGGGAGAGAAGGGAAAACGCACAGUUCAUUUCCCAGCACACCUCGUGUCCCACCCUCCCACUCCACCCCACCUCCACACUCCAUCCCGGUUUAUCCCAACAAGAGGGGCCACCUGCCAUCUAAGGCGCCCGCUGCCCCGGGUCCACCUGGUCUUCGUAGAUUUGAACUGCCUCCUUCACCACUGCCAUUUCAGGGUCGGUAACGCAGUGCCUGACAACUCUUCCCAGUUUGGGAAAAUAUUAUCCAAAUCGUUUCUUACCUGUUUUCUGUUUCUGUCUCAGAGUAAAUUUUCUGCUUUAGUAACCAGGCUUGGCCAGGCACCCUCCACUGCCCAACAAUGCCUUCUGCCUUCUGCAGUUAUGAGCAGGUGUGUGUGAAGGCAUUUUUUUAAACCCAGUCUCUCUGUAACGGGAGGUGCUGUGACCACUGGGAGCCAAUAGCAGAAGGGGUGAGUGGGAAUUAUGGGGAAGGGGACCGAGGUCCAAGCUAACAGAUCAGGGGACCUGAAAGGCUCUGUCCAGUGGGAGUCACCUGAAGCAGUGAGUCCACACCCAAUGCAUACCCUCCCCGGGGGACCUAGAAAAGCUGGGAUCAAACUCUGACAACUGCAUGAACGCUACAAACUCUCUUCUCCAAACACACAAACUACGCAGCAACGGUUUCUGGAAGUUCACACACUUCUUGAAAUGUAUCCACGGGCUGCUGACUUGGAACCCAAAACUCCUUAAGUGCCGCCAAUUAAAGAUCUGAUGUAAAUGAAAACUAAAGAAUUUUUUGCCUCACCCAGAUUUUUGAAACCAGUGCUGCUCCUUAAGGACAAGCAGGAGGACCAGUGCGGUCAGUACUCUGUGUAGGCGCCCUGGUGUGUGCAGCUGCCUUGAAGUCACUGGGCACCUGAGUGGCCAGCUGACCAGGGAGUGCCUGGUAACUAGUUCCAACAGGAGUGAGGUGCGAGGACUUUACCAUUAAAAUGUUAAUUCUCUCUGUAGGAGAAGGUCCCUUUCCCUGAUUUUAACAUAUUAAUGCUCACUAAUUCCACCUUCAAACUUAGGACCCCAAAGACUCUACCAGCAGCGCCUUUUCUUUCUCCCACAAGGGAAGGCGAGGAGAAACAGGUGCGGACUCUGGGCGCCAAGCCCACCAAGCAAAAUGACCACCUCUGUUGGGGCGGAGGCGGGAGGGGGUGGGGGGGGGCUCGCUGUCCCUUUCAUCUUCACGUUGGGGGCGGGGCUUCCGGAGCAGGGCUCCCCAGGGUGCGGGGUGCAGGCCCCUUCCCGCGGUGCAGGGCUCGCUGCCUGCUUCGGUCCCGUGAGUGGUCUGCUGUGCUUUGGUUUUGCUUGUUUGUGUGGUUUUUGCCUGUGACUUUGCGAAAUAUUCUCGGACCGAGAGACAGAAAGUCUUGGUCUCCGAGAACAAGCAAAAUAUUGCUUUCAGUUUAAAUAUCUACUGGGAAACCUCAAGUUUUUCAACGUCAUCAUUCUAGAAAACAGAUUACAAAAGCAAAGAAUUUAAUCUCGCUCCCUGGACCCCCGACUCGGUUUGACUUCAAUUUAUAUUUUCUUCGGUGGGUUUUAAGUCUUAGAAAGUAUGUCCUAGAAUGAAGACACCAAAGAGGAUGCGGUAAAUUUGGGAGGGGCAGCGGGAUGGAAAGAGGUUUAAAUUCGCUAAGUGGCCAGCUGUACCUGUCCGGUUGCUACCUCUUCGCUUUCACACCGUCCGGGUGGAAGAACCUUUCGGCCGACUGGGGGAAACUCGCGGGCGAGGCAGCCAGCGGGUGGAGUCCCGUGUCCCCACCACCGGCUUCCCCUCCGCGCUUU
RNAcentral lists this long non-coding RNA (4298 nucleotides) under Sus scrofa (pig). RNAcentral describes it as "lncRNA (ENSSSCG00000044825.1)". The record is from RNAcentral. Lineage: Eukaryota; Metazoa; Chordata; Mammalia; Artiodactyla; Suidae.